AGUAACGGCGAGUGAACAGGGAAAAGCCCAAAUUUGUAAUCUGGCACUUUUUACAAGUGUCCGAGUUGUAAUUUGUAGAGCUGUUAUCCGUACUGGACCAUGUACAAGUCUGUUGAAAAGCAGCAUCAUUGAAGGUGAAAAUCCUGUAGAUGAUAUGGACUACCAGUAUAUUUGUGAUACGGUUUCUAAGAGUCGAGUUGUUUGGGAAUGCAGCUCAAAGUGGGUGGUAAAUUCCAUCUAAGGCUAAAUAUAAGUGAGAGACCGAUAGCAAACAAGUACCGUGAGGGAAAGAUGAAAAGAACUUUGAAAAUAGAGUUAACAGUACGUGAAAUUGCUGAAAGGGAAACGUUUGAAGUUAGUUUUGUAUUCGUUGGAUCAGCUUCGCAAGGAGUGUAUUCUGAUGAUAAGCAAGUCAACAUCAGUCUAUGAGUGUUGGAUAAGGGUUUUGAGAAUGUAGCAAUUUAAUUGUGUUAUAGCUUGAGACUUGGAUACAAUGCUUUGGAUUGAGGAACGCGUAGUAAGCUUUGAGCGGAUUCGAAAGGAUCUCCUUACUAUGGAUGUUGGUGAAAUAACUUUAAGCGACCCGUCU
This 589-nucleotide ribosomal RNA is filed under the name Melampsora epiphylla. RNAcentral describes it as "partial 28S ribosomal RNA". It matches the Rfam family "Eukaryotic large subunit ribosomal RNA", at positions 82 to 654 of the family's 3401-position model. RNAcentral also lists the same sequence under 1 other name. The record is from RNAcentral. Lineage: Eukaryota; Fungi; Basidiomycota; Pucciniomycetes; Pucciniales; Melampsoraceae.